Bubalus bubalis (water buffalo) is the source of this 501-nucleotide long non-coding RNA. RefSeq lists it as uncharacterized. The record is from RefSeq and is a predicted model, not a curated record. NCBI's taxonomy places the organism in Eukaryota, Metazoa, Chordata, Mammalia, Artiodactyla, Bovidae. The transcript is spliced from 3 exons.
CACACCUUGCAGGUAAACCCUCUUUUUUGCACAAACCUCAGCAUCUUGAUAUCUCAGCUUGCUGUGUCGGGCAAAAUGAGCCUGGUUUGGCCACAAUGCCUCCAUCAUACAGAGACAAAAGGAACCAGAUUCCCCAGGUGUGCCUCUGGUGUGGGACUUGCUGGCCGCUGGCUGUGAGCAUCUAUCUCCCCCAUGGACUGGUGUUCCUUCAGAGACACAAGCAUGGCCUCUUUGUCAUGGUGAAGUCAACUCCAUGCUGCAACUUACUCCAGAGCGCCCCAUGGGAAGGCUGAAGCCAGACGCCAGCUGAAGUCAUAUCACCUGCCUUACCUUCCUUCCCUCUCUCCCUUUGUUGUGAAAGCAUCCCCCCAAUAAAGCAAGUAAAUCAGCCCUGAAUAUUGAUUGGAAGAACUGAUGCUGAAGCUGAAGCUCCAAUACUUUAGCCAUCUGAUGCAAAGAACUGACUCAUUGGAAAAGACCCUGAUGCUGGGCAAGAUUGAA